RNAcentral lists this long non-coding RNA (209 nucleotides) under Elaeis guineensis (African oil palm). RNAcentral describes it as "long non-coding RNA (EGUI_LNC040524)". The record is from RNAcentral. Lineage: Eukaryota; Viridiplantae; Streptophyta; Magnoliopsida; Arecales; Arecaceae.
CAUACUGAAAUCAGAAUCAAAAUGAAACUCCUCCCAAUCAAACGGUUAGAAUGGGAUUAACCAUUUUUCAUUCUCAUUCUAAGCCCCAACUGUUCCCAACCAAACAUCCGAUCUACUGUCCGCCAACUCCGUCGGGUGUUUUGGGUGAUAGAUUCUAACAUGCGUUGGGUUGUGAGCAAAAUAAAGAAAGAAAAAUAUAAAAAGAAGAA